UACAGAGGGGGCGAGCGUUGUUCGGAAUUACUGGGCGUAAAGGGCGCGUAGGCGGCCUUCUAAGUCGAACGUGAAAUCCCCGGGCUCAACCCGGGAACUGCGUCCGAUACUGGGAGGCUUGGAUUUGGGAGAGGGAUGCGGAAUUCCAGGUGUAGCGGUGAAAUGCGUAGAUAUCUGGAGGAACACCGGUGGCGAAGGCGGCAUCCUGGACCAAUAUUGACGCUGAGGAGCGAAAGCUAGGGGAGCAAACGGG
This 253-nucleotide ribosomal RNA is filed under the name uncultured bacterium. RNAcentral's name for it is "partial 16S ribosomal RNA". It matches the Rfam family "Bacterial small subunit ribosomal RNA", at positions 524 to 776 of the family's 1533-position model. The record is from RNAcentral.